AGUGGUCAUCGGUGGUCAUCGGUGGUCAUUGGAGAUCAUUGGUGGUCAGUGGUGGUCAUUGGUGGGCAUUGGUGGUCAUCGGUGGUCAUUGGAGAUCAUUUGUGGUCAUUGGAGAUCAUUGGUGGCCAUUGGAGGUUGGUGGUGAUCAUUGGUGGUCAUUGUUGGUCAUUUGAGAUCAUCGGUGGUCAUUGGUGGUCAUUGGAGAUCAUUGGUGGUCAAUGGUGGUCAAUGGUGGUCAAUGGAGAUCAAUGGAGGUCAGUGAUGGUCAAUGGAGGUCAAUGGAGGUCAAUGGAGGCCAGUGGAGGUCAAUGGAGGUCAAUGGAGGUCAAUGGAGGUUGGUGGUGGCCAUUGGAGAUCAUUGGUGGUCAAUGGAGGUCAGUGAUGGUCAAUGGAGGUCAAUGGUGGUCAAUGGAGGUCAAUGGAGGUCAGUGAUGGUCAGUG
Non-coding RNA from Cyanistes caeruleus (blue tit), 441 nucleotides. The record is from RefSeq and is a predicted model, not a curated record. Lineage: Eukaryota; Metazoa; Chordata; Aves; Passeriformes; Paridae.